CCUCGUUUGAGCAGGGUGGGUAAGGGUGAAAUGGUGAGGUAAGAGCUCACCGCCCCGGCGGAGACGCCGGGGGCAGGGCAAACCCCAUCCGGAGCAAGGCCUAGCAGGGGACAUCGGCCGCACCCGUAUCCGGGAGCGGUCGGGGUAAUAGGGUGCCCGGACCUUCCCCGGGUUGGCCGCUCGACCCCGAUGGCAACGUCGGGGCUAGAUAGAUGGCCGCCGCGCCGUUUGCCCGUGGGAAGAAGCCAUUGGCGUAAACCGCAGGCACCUGGCGUACAGAACUCGGCUUACAGGCUGUCUUGCGCC
RNAcentral lists this RNase P RNA (306 nucleotides) under Dehalococcoidia bacterium. Its description in RNAcentral is "partial RNase P RNA component class A". It matches the Rfam family "Bacterial RNase P class A", at positions 129 to 367 of the family's 367-position model. Rfam says of the family: Ribonuclease P (RNase P) is a ubiquitous endoribonuclease, found in archaea, bacteria and eukarya as well as chloroplasts and mitochondria. Lineage: Bacteria; Bacillati; Chloroflexota; Dehalococcoidia. The record is from RNAcentral.